ACGCACGCUGGCGGCGUGCUUAACCCAUGCCAGUCGAACGGUGAAGCGCCUUCCUUUUUGGUGGGUGUGGAUGAGUGGCGAACGGGUGAGUAACACGUGAGUAACCUGCCCCCUUCUUCUGGAUAACCGCAUGAAAGUGUGGCUAAUACGGGAUAUUCUGGGUCUGUCGCAUGAUGGGUCUGGGAAAGAUAUUGUUUCGGUGGGGGAUGGGCUCGCGGCCUAUCAGCUUGUUGGUGGGGUGAUGGCCUACCAAGGCGGUGACGGGUAGCCGGCCUGAGAGGGUGGACGGUCACACUGGGACUGAGACACGGCCCAGACUCCUACGGGAGGCAGCAGUGGGGAAUAUUGCACAAUGGGCGCAAGCCUGAUGCAGCGACGCCGCGUGAGGGAUGGAGGCCUUCGGGUUGUGAACCUCUUUCGCCAGUGAAGCAGGCCUGCCUCGUUUGUGGGUGGGUUGACGGUAGCUGGAGAAGAAGCGCCGGCUAACUACGUG
This 493-nucleotide ribosomal RNA is filed under the name uncultured bacterium. RNAcentral describes it as "partial 16S ribosomal RNA". It matches the Rfam family "Bacterial small subunit ribosomal RNA", at positions 29 to 507 of the family's 1533-position model. The record is from RNAcentral.